Long non-coding RNA from Pseudopipra pipra, 847 nucleotides. RefSeq lists it as uncharacterized. Lineage: Eukaryota; Metazoa; Chordata; Aves; Passeriformes; Pipridae. The transcript has 2 exons. The record is from RefSeq and is a predicted model, not a curated record.
GCCCCGCCCGCUCCGUUCCCAGGGCCGCGGCGGCAGCGCGCCCCGCCCGGGCCGGGCCAGGCGGGAGCGGCGGGGCCGGGCCGGGCCCCGGGCAGGGCAUGGCUGGGCCCCGCGGGGCGGGGGGCUGAGCCCUGGGCUGGAGCCCCUGCCACCUCCCAGCGAGCUCCCCGCGGGCCGGGGCCCGCCGGCGGCAUAAAGGGGCACUUGUGACACGGAUUUGUAAGAGGGGCAAGGCUGGCUCGGAUGCAGGUGCGGACCUGCCAUAGAGAACGGCACUACGCUGGGCAAAGAAGCGAAUUGGCCACCAAGUUUUGAAGAUCAUAUUUAGGCAAAACUUUAUGCUUAAAUUAGGAGUUGAUUUCCCAAUGGUUGGCAAAGGACAGCAUAGCACAUCAAAACUGGGUGAAAUCCAGGCCCCACAGAACUGGAACAGAAACCUGUCCCACCAAUUACAAUAGUAAACCACGAGAGACAAGCACACUACUAAUAAAGAAUACUGAAAGAAGAAUAUCCUUACUGGCUUUCCUUGAUGACUGCUUCCUGAGGAAGAUGAACCCUGAAAAAAGAUACCCAUUUUUGACUCUGUCUAUUUGCACUUAUAUGUUCUCACUGUCUGGAAUAAAGGAACACAAGAGAAUGAACACUGUCUUGUGUCCAGUCCCCUAAAAAUCCCAGGGAAAACCUUGACCGAAAUACAAAUAUUUAACAUCGUUUUGUUACAAGUAUUCUUUCAAAUGAUGUAUUGGAAAUUUUGAUACAGUGUUCUCAAGAAGAAAGAACUGUUUUGUAGUUGUGAUGUGUUUAAUAUAUGGAAUGGAAAAAAUAAUAAGGUCUAAUGAAACAUUAA